UGACAUAGGAGAAUGAGAAACUAAAAGAAAUAAGAGAAUUAUUAGAAGAGCAACUUGCUUCAUUUCAAUCUGACAAAGAAGAAGUCAUACAACUGGAAAGGUCUUUACAGGAGAAGAUUGAGGAGCAAGAUGAAGAAUUGCAACUACUUAAAGUACAGUUAGCAUCGUAUCAAGAGAAGGAAGGUGAAGAGGAAAGUUUUGCAGAAGAAAUUGAGAAAUUACAGUCAGCAACUGAUAAAGAUGAAAGAGAUAAGAUAGUACAAGGUUUGCUGUCACAUAGUGGAAAGUUAAAAGGAAAAUUGUCAAUGGCAGAAAAAAUGAUUGUGCAACUGCAAAAAGAAUUAAAGCAAAAAGACCAGACUAUGCAACAAGAGCAAGGUCAGUCCAACCAAGAGUUCACAAUUUAGAACAAUGUAAAGCAUCACUAGCCAAGAGUAAACAAGAAAUAGAAUUAUUGCAAGAAAAGAUAACAACAAUGACUUUACAACAAAUUGAAAGAGAUAAACAAGUGCAAGAAAAAGAACAAAUGUUACUAUUGAAAAUUAAAAACUUGGAGAA
Amphimedon queenslandica is the source of this 558-nucleotide long non-coding RNA. RefSeq lists it as uncharacterized. The transcript is spliced from 5 exons. NCBI's taxonomy places the organism in Eukaryota, Metazoa, Porifera, Demospongiae, Haplosclerida, Niphatidae. The record is from RefSeq and is a predicted model, not a curated record.